AACGAACGCUGGCGGCAUGCCUAACACAUGCAAGUCGAACGAGACCUUCGGGUCUAGUGGCGCACGGGUGCGUAACGCGUGGGAACCUGCCCUUAGGUUCGGAAUAACUCCCCGAAAGGGGUGCUAAUACCGGAUAAUGUCUUCGGACCAAAGAUUUAUCGCCUUUGGAUGGGCCCGCGUUGGAUUAGCUAGUUGGUAGGGUAAAAGCCUACCAAGGCGACGAUCCAUAGCUGGUCUGAGAGGAUGAUCAGCCACACUGGGACUGAGACACGGCCCAGACUCCUACGGGAGGCAGCAGUGGGGAAUAUUGGACAAUGGGCGAAAGCCUGAACCAGCAAUGCCGCGUGAGUGAUGAAGGCCUUAGGGUUGUAAAGCUCUUUUACCCGGGAUGAUAAUGACAGUACCGGGAGAAUAAGCACCGGCUAACUCCGUG
This 433-nucleotide ribosomal RNA is filed under the name uncultured bacterium. Its description in RNAcentral is "partial 16S ribosomal RNA". It matches the Rfam family "Bacterial small subunit ribosomal RNA", at positions 29 to 507 of the family's 1533-position model. The record is from RNAcentral.